Molecule: signal recognition particle RNA, 262 nt
Filed under: Oscillospiraceae bacterium
Lineage: Bacteria; Bacillati; Bacillota; Clostridia; Eubacteriales; Oscillospiraceae
Description: signal recognition particle sRNA large type
Rfam family: Bacterial large signal recognition particle RNA
About the family: The signal recognition particle (SRP) is a universally conserved ribonucleoprotein involved in the co-translational targeting of proteins to membranes. Archaeal SRP consists of a 7S RNA and homologues of the eukaryotic SRP19 and SRP54 proteins. In most bacteria, the SRP consists of a 4.5S RNA and the Ffh protein (a homologue of the eukaryotic SRP54 protein).
Source: RNAcentral
UCGUACAACCGGGGAAGUAGCGGCGCCCUGUACUUGCAAUCCGCUAUAGCAAGGGUCAUGCCCUUUUUGAGGGUUGCUGUGUAUGCGCAAGUGUAUGUUAAGCAGUGUUGAGAGUCGGGUUCUGCGCAAUGCAGACUCGUGAACCUGGUCAGGUGGGGAACCAAGCAGCCAUAAGCGAUGCUUUGUAUGUGCCGCAGAGGGCCUGAUUUGAGUUGAUUAACAUAUAACGUGUAUAUGCUCAAUUCGAUUUUAGGGCGUACGA